Eriocheir sinensis (Chinese mitten crab) is the source of this 309-nucleotide long non-coding RNA. RefSeq lists it as uncharacterized. The transcript is spliced from 2 exons. The record is from RefSeq and is a predicted model, not a curated record. Lineage: Eukaryota; Metazoa; Arthropoda; Malacostraca; Decapoda; Varunidae.
ACCACUAAAAAGAAAUGCUAGCCUACAUUUCUCGCUUCCCUCUUCGGGUUCCAGUGAGGAUGUUGCCCGGGAGCUCUGGUGCCCAGCCUGUGCAACAAGAUCGCUUCAUCUUACAGGGGGCAGCUAUGCUUGUUGGACUUGGGCUCUGCAUUUCUUCUUUCUCCCUCAAAAAACUCUCCGCUAUGCCUGAAAGACCAAGACGACUUUUGUAGAAUAUCUGAUGGAAAGUGUGUCACUAAAAUGCUGUUUACCAAUCCAUCAGAAUGGAUCAAAGCACUUGGCAUGCACAAUUUAACAUCGCUCGCCUCA